UGAACUCACAGCAGGCUGCUUCACUGAAGACUAUUCCCUGAGGGCUUCAGCUAAUUAACUUUAGAGAAUUCCUAGCUUGAACAAAUACUAUGUACCCUUGAACUGGUACUACUGAAAGCUCAUCCAAACACCCAGGUAUUUUCCCCAUCCUGAGCUGGGACAAGUCUGACAGCCUGCAGUUCCUUCUGGGCUCUUCCUGAUCUCAAAAGCUGUUUUGGAGAAAAAGGAAACAGCAUCUGCUAUCUACUCUAGACAAGAAGUUGUGAAUAUGCAGCAAAUGUUCUGGAAGCAAACUGAAGACAUGGAAGUAAAACUAAAAAGUCCAGUGGUUCAAAAUGAGAUUAUUGUCACAGGAAAUGGAGCAGUCUCUGCAGUCAGAAAGAUAUGGACACACCAUUAUGACUGGCUUGAUAUGGGGAGAACUCCUGAUACACAGAGGCCAGUGUUGGCUGGACCUUUCUAAGCUCCUCAUUUUUGUAGCUCUGGAGCUUUCUAAGCUCCUAAGCUUUCUAAGCUUUGGAGCUUUCUAAGCUCCUCAUUUUGUCUUAAAUGGAAGGGUAUGUCAGUCAGUGAUACUGCCCCCUCUGUGUCAAAAUAAAAAAUGAAGUAAACAUGAGAAAGAAAUA
This 626-nucleotide long non-coding RNA is filed under the name Junco hyemalis (dark-eyed junco). RNAcentral describes it as "lncRNA (ENSJHYG00000006709.1)". The record is from RNAcentral. Lineage: Eukaryota; Metazoa; Chordata; Aves; Passeriformes; Passerellidae.